RNAcentral lists this ribosomal RNA (488 nucleotides) under uncultured bacterium. Its description in RNAcentral is "bacterial SSU rRNA". It matches the Rfam family "Bacterial small subunit ribosomal RNA", at positions 903 to 1397 of the family's 1533-position model. The record is from RNAcentral.
AAAGGAAUAGACGGGCACCCGCACAAGCGGUGGAGCAUGCUGUUUAAUUCGAAAAUACGCGAAGAACCUUACCUAGACUUGACAUCCCUUGCAAAGCUAUAGAAAUAUAGUAGAGGUUAUCAAGGUGACAGGUGGUGCAUGGUUGUCGUCAGCUCGUGUCGUGAGAUGUUUGGUUAAGUCCAACAACGAGCGCAACCCUCGUCUUUAGUUGCUAACAUUAAGUUGAGAACUCUAAAGAAACUGCCGGUGCAAGCCGGAGGAAGGUGGGGAUGAGGUCAAAUCAUCAUGCCCCUUACGUCUAGGGCUACAGGCGUGCUACAAUGGCUGGUACAACGAGACGCAACACGGUGACGUGAAGCAAAACUCUUAAAGCCAGUCUCAGUUCGGAUUGGAGUCUGCAACUCGACUCCAUGAAGUUGGAAUCGCUAGUAAUCACGAAUCAGAAUGUCGCGGUGAAUACGUUCCCGGGUGUUGUACACACCGCCCGU